Molecule: long non-coding RNA, 1663 nt
Organism: Choloepus didactylus (southern two-toed sloth)
Lineage: Eukaryota; Metazoa; Chordata; Mammalia; Pilosa; Megalonychidae
Exons: 5
Source: RefSeq, a predicted model, not a curated record
CAAACAAAACUUGGUUCCCUGGUGCCCCUGGAUUAGCUACAAAUUUCCUGGCACUUGAUUCAGUUUAAUUUACUCUAGGCCCACCUUGGUGAGCACAGGAUUCCUCCACCUGCAGAGUCGGCCCUGCCCCCUCCUCCACCCGGACCCACAGCCACCGCCCCUCGCAGCUACACACUCCACAGCCAUCGUCAAACAUAAUGAUUCUUUCUCUGGAGAGAACUUGGGUUCCAUUUUAUAUUUUGUUGCCUCAAAAAGGACAUUUUUUACCUUCCCACAGUUCACAGCCAGCAGGAACAGGAUGAUAAAUCUCAGCAAAGGUUUCCACUGAGAUGGAUGUUCCAGCAAGGAGACCGCUGUGUUCCAGGCAGGGGAGGAUAAAUAAGCAGUUGUACCUGCUUGGCCACCCCUCACUACCUUGUUCCCAACGCCAUGUCAUCCUGCCUCUGCUCCAAGAGGGAAGGCUGAGGGCUCCCCGCCGUCUUUGCCACCGUGUUCAAGGCACAUGCUUUAUCCUGCUUAGUUUUCAGCGGCCCUAUGGCAUGGGUGUGUGCAUUAGCCCCAUUUUACAGAUGCAGGGACUGAGAUUCAUGGAGGUUAGGCCUGCAGCUGGUCGAGGGCAAGCUGAGUGUGAACGGGGAUUCCCAGUUGUUAGGGGGUAAAUUGUGUCCCUCCUGUGUUCAAGUCCUGACACUCCUCCCUCCGUCUCCACCCCACGAAUGUGGCCUUAUUUGGAAAUAGCGUCCUUGAAACUGAUUAGUUACGAUGAAGCCAUUGGCAGGGGGUGGGGUGGGCUGAGCCAAUAGGCCUGGUGUCCUUAGAAGGGCAGAGGGCACACAGGGACAGGAGGGGAAAGGCCAGAAGCUGAAGUGCAGCCACCAUGAGUCCAGGAACACCGGGAUGGCCGGAAGAGGCCACAGGAGCCCGGCCCUGCCAACAGCUUGAUUGUGGACUCCUGGCCUCAAGAACGAUUAGUUCCACGGGUGGAUCAUCUUGCCAUCUCAUCCGUCGUGGGCUUCUCUUGCUUGCACUGGUUCCACCUCCUGAACUUCCACAGAAGGAACCACCUGCUCCCCUGGCCCAAAGCUGGCUAAGCUGGUGGGGAGGGGGCCCCAGAAGGCCACUGUGGGCUCCCCCUCUGCUCCACUGAGCCCACGGCUUCCUCUGGCAGAAGAAGAGGCUGUCUCGGCCAAGCUGAUCGUUCUUGGCUCUUCCCCUGCCUGCCAGAUGCCCGGGGAAGCUCUCAAGAGCCACUUAGCAGCCACCAUCCUCAGGGAGGUUCUAAGAGCAGUUUCGGUGGAUGGACGGAUGGAUUGAAGCAUAUCCUGCCUCACUCUAAACAAUAACUGAUGAGAUUUACAGAAAUAUUCAGAGCCCAAUGGAAUAAAAACAGGUGGUGCCUGUCAGCCUGUAGCUCCAGACUGGUGUAAGGAGGUGUGGCCCAUGGCUGUUUUCCCCCAGGCUCUGGGGUCUGGUUCUGAAAGGAAGGUGAGUAGUAGAACUUGGCACCACCUUUUUCCUCUUAUGGAAAAUACACCACCUAGGGUGAGGUCAUUUACAUUUGAAUAGACUCUGCCUGUACUAUCUCCACCCUUGUCUGGUCAGAGCUCAGGGAACUGAAAAUGGUGGAGUCUUUCUCCACUGAGCUGAAAAAGGGACAAGCCCC